AACGAACGCUGGCGGCAUGCCUAACACAUGCAAGUCGAACGAGACCUUCGGGCCUAGUGGCGCACGGGUGCGUAACGCGUGGGAACCUGCCCUUAGGUUCGGAAUAACUCCCCGAAAGGGGUGCUAAUACCGGAUAAUGUCUUCGGACCAAAGUUUUAUCGCCUUUGGAUGGGCCCGCGUUGGAUUAGCUAGUUGGUAGGGUAAAAGCCUACCAAGGCGACGAUCCAUAGCUGGUCUGAGAGGAUGAUCAGCCACACUGGGACUGAGACACGGCCCAGACUCCUACGGGAGGCAGCAGUGGGGAAUAUUGGACAGUGGGCGAAAGCCUGAUCCAGCAAUGCCGCGUGAGUGAUGAAGGCCUUAGGGUUGUAAAGCUCUUUUACCCGGGAUGAUAAUGACAGUACCGGGAGAAUAAGCUCCGGCUAACUCCGUG
Molecule: ribosomal RNA, 433 nt
Filed under: uncultured bacterium
Lineage: Bacteria
Description: partial 16S ribosomal RNA
Rfam family: Bacterial small subunit ribosomal RNA
Source: RNAcentral